RNAcentral lists this ribosomal RNA (411 nucleotides) under uncultured bacterium. RNAcentral describes it as "partial 16S ribosomal RNA". It matches the Rfam family "Bacterial small subunit ribosomal RNA", at positions 355 to 755 of the family's 1533-position model. The record is from RNAcentral.
UGGGGAAUUUUGGACGAAUUGGGCGAAAGCCUGAAUCCAGCAAUGCCGCGUGUGUGAAGAAGGCCUUCGGGUUGUAAAGCACUUUUGUCCGGAAAGAAAUCCUUGGCUCUAAUACAGUCGGGGGAUGACGGUACCGGAAGAAUAAGCACCGGCUAACUACGUGCCAGCAGCCGCGGUAAUACGUAGGGUGCAAGCGUUAAUCGGAAUUACUGGGCGUAAAGCGUGCGCAGGCGGUUUGCUAAGACCGAUGUGAAAUCCCCGGGCUCAACCUGGGAACUGCAUUGGUGACUGGCAGGCUAGAGUAUGGCAGAGGGGGGUGAGAAUUCCACGUGUAGCAGUGAAAUGCGUAGAGAUGUGGAGGAAUACCGAUGGCGAAGGCAGCCCCCUGGCAAGUACUGACGCUCAUGCACG